This 429-nucleotide ribosomal RNA is filed under the name uncultured Bacteroidales bacterium. Its description in RNAcentral is "bacterial SSU rRNA". It matches the Rfam family "Bacterial small subunit ribosomal RNA", at positions 930 to 1361 of the family's 1533-position model. The record is from RNAcentral. Lineage: Bacteria; Pseudomonadati; Bacteroidota; Bacteroidia; Bacteroidales.
CGGAGGAACAUGUGGUUUAAUUCGAUGAUACGCGAGGAACCUUACCCGGGCUUAAAUUGCACUGGACAGGCUCAGAGAUGGGCCCUUCUUCGGACCAGUGUGAAGGUGCUGCAUGGUUGUCGUCAGCUCGUGCCGUGAGGUGUCGGCUUAAGUGCCAUAACGAGCGCAACCCUUGCCAUUAGUUACUAACAGGUGAUGCUGAGGACUCUAGUGGGACUGCCAUCGUAAGAUGUGAGGAAGGUGGGGAUGACGUCAAAUCAGCACGGCCCUUACGUCCGGGGCUACACACGUGUUACAAUGGGAGGUACAGAAGGCCGCUACCCGGCGACGGGACGCCAAUCCCCAAAACCUCUCUCAGUUCGGAUUGGAGUCUGCAACCCGAUUCCAUGAAGCUGGAUUCGCUAGUAAUCGCGCAUCAGCCACGGCGCG